AUCCGUCGGUUUUAGAAAUCGUGAGGGUUCAAGUCUAACUAUUUAUUCUCU
RNAcentral lists this transfer RNA (51 nucleotides) under Cyananthus lobatus. Its description in RNAcentral is "partial tRNA-Leu". The record is from RNAcentral. Lineage: Eukaryota; Viridiplantae; Streptophyta; Magnoliopsida; Asterales; Campanulaceae.